GACGAACGCUGGCGGCGUGCCUAAUACAUGCAAGUAGAACGCACAGUUUAUACCGUAGCUUGCUACACCAUAAACUGUGAGUUGCGAACGGGUGAGUAACGCGUAGGUAACCUGCCUGGUAGCGGGGGAUAACUAUUGGAAACGAUAGCUAAUACCGCAUAAUAUUGAUUAUUGCAUGAUAAUUGAUUGAAAGAUGCUAUUGCAUCACUACCAGAUGGACCUGCGUUGUAUUAGCUAGUAGGCGAGGUAACGGCUCACCUAGGCGACGUUACAUAGCCGAACUGAGAUGGUGGUCGGCCACACUGGGACUGAGACACGGCCCAGACUCCUACGGGAGGCAGCAGUAGGGAAUCUUCGGCAAUGGACGAAAGUCUGACCGAGCAACGCCGCGGGAGUGAAGAAGGUUUUCGGAUCGUAAAGCUCUGUUGUAAGAGAAGAACGGGUGUGAGAGUGGAAAGUUCACACUGUGACGGUAUCUUACCAGAAAGGGACGGCUAACUACGUG
This 505-nucleotide ribosomal RNA is filed under the name uncultured bacterium. RNAcentral describes it as "partial 16S ribosomal RNA". It matches the Rfam family "Bacterial small subunit ribosomal RNA", at positions 28 to 507 of the family's 1533-position model. The record is from RNAcentral.